RNAcentral lists this ribosomal RNA (266 nucleotides) under uncultured bacterium. RNAcentral describes it as "partial 16S ribosomal RNA". The record is from RNAcentral.
CUGCUGCCUUCCGUAGGAGUUUGGGCCUGUCUCAGUCCCAAUGUGGCCGUCCACCCUCUCAGGCCGGCUACUGAUCGUCGCCUUGGUGGGCCCCUACCCCGCCAACAAGCUAAUCAGACGCGGGUCCAUCUUACACCACCGGAGUUUUUCACACCGGGCCAUGCGGCCCUGUGCGCUUAUGCGGUAUUAGCACCUGUUUCCAGGUGUUAUCCCCCUGUGUAAGGCAGGUUACCCACGCGUUACUCACCCGUCCGCCACUCGAAUCG